AACAUGAUGUAACCAAAGGUACCGAUUCCCAGCCCGAACAACGGAAUAGAAUUAUACCUAGAGUGGCAGAUUUACCACCGUACUGUCGCAGAAUAUACGACGAAUAUAAAAAAUCUAAGAAGCAGUUGGACUUCAUGAAAAGAGCCAGGAGGGCUGUGAAAUUUUCAAAAACACAAUGUUUUGAAAAAUUAGCUGCCAAUUUAAAUCCUUUGGCAAAAAAAAUUAUAUGGAUGCAAAUAACGCAAAGUAAUAAGAAACGAAAAGGCAGGCGUUUUACAGACGAAGAAAAAAUGAUUUCGCUGGCAAUCAUGAAACAAAGUCCAAAAGCUUAUAGAUUUCUGCAACAAAUAUUUAUUUUGCCCUCAAGAAAUACCUUGAACAAACUGACAUCAACUCUGAAUGUGCAGCCGGGGAUCAAUGUACAAAUUUUUGAUGCAAUUAAGGAUCAGGUAAAAAACUGGACCGAAAACAAAAAAUACUGUUCCAUUAUUUUUGACGAAGUUAAACUUGAACCUGGAUUGGACUAUCAAAAAGGAAUGGACCACAUCAAUGGAUUUGUCCACCUCAAUAAAAAAACGAACAAUUUCGCAGAUCAUGCUUUAGCCUUUAUGGUGAGAGGUGGCAUACAUAAGUGGCAACAGCCUGUAGCCUACUAUUUUUGUGAAGGAGCGACCAAAAAUGAAGAGUUACGGGUGAUAUUGAAAACGUUGAUAAGUGCCGUGAUAGACACGGGCCUGAUACCCGUUGCAGUUAUCUGCGAUCAGGGCCAAUCAUUCCAAUCAGCCUUGAAGGGCCUUAUGGAAGAAACACGUAGCGACCAGAUUAAAGCUGGAAAUCCGACUGAUGAUGUCAUAACACUCAAAGGGCACGAUAUAAAUGUUAUUUAUGAUCCACCUCACCUAAUAAAGGGAAUUAGAAAUAACUUCUUAACAAAAAAUAUGAAAUUUGAAGGAAGCGUGUGCAAGUGGAGCGACAUCGUCGACGUAUACCAGACGGACUGUGAGCACACCGAGACCCGGCUGCUACAUAAACUUAAUGACACACAUGUCAUUCCCGAAAAAAUUAAUAAA
This is a long non-coding RNA of Cydia splendana, 1070 nucleotides long. RefSeq lists it as uncharacterized. The record is from RefSeq and is a predicted model, not a curated record. NCBI's taxonomy places the organism in Eukaryota, Metazoa, Arthropoda, Insecta, Lepidoptera, Tortricidae. The transcript is spliced from 3 exons.